GACGAACGCUGGCGGCGUGCUUAACACAUGCAAGUCGAACGGAAAGGCCCUGCUUUUGUGGGGUGCUCGAGUGGCGAACGGGUGAGUAACACGUGAGUAACCUGCCCUUGACUUUGGGAUAACUUCAGGAAACUGGGGCUAAUACCGGAUAGGAGCUCCUGCUGCAUGGUGGGGGUUGGAAAGUUUCGGCGGUUGGGGAUGGACUCGCGGCUUAUCAGCUUGUGGGUGGGGUAGUGGCUUACCAAGGCUUUGACGGGUAGCCGGCCUGAGAGGGUGACCGGCCACAUUGGGACUGAGAUACGGCCCAGACUCCUACGGGGGGCAGCAGUGGGGAAUAUUGCACAAUGGGCGGAAGCCUGAUGCAGCAACGCCGCGUGCGGGAUGACGGCCUUCGGGUUGUAAACCGCUUUCGCCUGUGACGAAGCGUGAGUGACGGUAAUGGGUAAAGAAGCACCGGCUAACUACGUG
RNAcentral lists this ribosomal RNA (468 nucleotides) under uncultured bacterium. RNAcentral's name for it is "partial 16S ribosomal RNA". It matches the Rfam family "Bacterial small subunit ribosomal RNA", at positions 28 to 507 of the family's 1533-position model. The record is from RNAcentral.